CGUGAGCAAUCUGCCUUUGGAUGGGGGAUAACAGCCGGAAACGACUGCUAAUACCGCAUAAUGCAGCAGGACCGCAUGAUUUUGCUGCCAAAGAUUUAUCGUCCAAAGAUGAGCUCGCGUCUGAUUAGCCAGUUGGCGGGGUAACGGCCCACCAAAGCGACGAUCAGUAGCCGGACUGAGAGGUUGAACGGCCACAUUGGGACUGAGACACGGCCCAGACUCCUACGGGAGGCAGCAG
Molecule: ribosomal RNA, 238 nt
Filed under: uncultured bacterium
Lineage: Bacteria
Description: partial 16S ribosomal RNA
Rfam family: Bacterial small subunit ribosomal RNA
Source: RNAcentral